Molecule: ribosomal RNA, 468 nt
Filed under: uncultured bacterium
Lineage: Bacteria
Description: partial 16S ribosomal RNA
Rfam family: Bacterial small subunit ribosomal RNA
Source: RNAcentral
GACGAACGCUGGCGGCGUGCUUAACACAUGCAAGUCGAACGAUGAUGCUCCAGCCUGCUGGCGUGGAUCAGUGGCGAACGGGUGAGUAACACGUGAGCAACCUGCCCCAGACUCUGGAAUAAGCGCUGGAAACGGCGUCUAAUACUGGAUACGAAACUGGCCCGCAUGGGCAUGGUUUGGAAAGUUUUUCGGUUUGGGAUGGGCUCGCGGCCUAUCAGCUUGUUGGUGAGGUAAUGGCUCACCAAGGCGACGACGGGUAGCCGGCCUGAGAGGGCGACCGGCCACACUGGGACUGAGAGACGGCCCAGACUCCUACGGGAGGCAGCAGUGGGGAAUAUUGCACAAUGGGCGAAAGCCUGAUGCAGCGACGCCGCGUGAGGGAUGACGGCCUUCGGGUUGUAAACCUCUUUCAGCAGGGAAGAAGCGAAAGUGACGGUACCUGCAGAAGAAGCACCGGCUAACUACGUG